UGGAGGUCAAUAUAUGGCGACAAUGGGGCGACAAGGUCUUGACGGCAGGCGACGCCGCGUGGGGGAUGAAGGUCUUCGGAUUGUAAACCCCUUUCGGGAGGGAAGAUGGAGUGGGUAACCACUUGGACGGUACCUCCAGAAGCAGCCACGGCUAACUUCGUGCCAGCAGCCGCGGUAAUACGAAGGUGGCAAGCGUUGUUCGGAUUCACUGGGCGUACAGGGAGCGUAGGCGGUUGGGUAAGCCCUCCGUGAAAUCUCCGGGCCUAACCCGGAAAGUGCAGAGGGGACUGCUCAGCUAGAGGAUGGGAGAGGAGCGCGGAAUUCCCGGUGUAGCGGUGAAAUGCGUAAAGAUCGGGAGGAAGGCCGGUGGCGAAGGCGGCGCUCUGGAACAUUUCUGACGCUGAGGCUCGAAAGCGUGGGGAGCAAACAGGAUUAGAUACCCUGGUAGUCCACGCCUUAAACUAUGGAUACUAAGUGUCGGCGGUUUACCGCCGGUGCCGCAGCUAACGCAAUAAGUAUCCCGCCUGGGAAGUACGGCCGCAAGGUUGAAACUUCAAAGGAU
RNAcentral lists this ribosomal RNA (562 nucleotides) under uncultured bacterium. Its description in RNAcentral is "bacterial SSU rRNA". It matches the Rfam family "Bacterial small subunit ribosomal RNA", at positions 352 to 910 of the family's 1533-position model. The record is from RNAcentral.